GAAAAAAUCCCAGGCUUUGUCUAGUCUUGUCUGGACUCAUUCCCAUAAAUAACGCUGCUUGAUAGGUCAUUUUUCUUUUUAGGAAAAAACACACUUGGAACUGGGACUUUAUUUUCCUGGUGCUUGUCACAUCUGUGUCUGGGUGUGGUGUGCCCAGUUACUGGUCCGACACCAGUCAAGUGGUAAAUGGGGCAGAGGCUCGUCCACACAGCUGGCCAUGGCAGAUUCCACACGUACAGAGUGGUUAUUGCUGAACACGAUAUGGACAAAGAAGAGGGACCUGAACAGUCUCUUAUGGUGGCAAAAAUGUUUAUCCAUCCCAAAUGGAACAAUAACUGUGUGUCUUGUGGGUGUGUUCAGCAAUAUAAUAUUCGGAGGGACACUUUGUUUUCUAAGAACCUCAGGGAAAUGAUUAAGAAUCAAUAAUAUGUUUUUCGGGGUACACCCUGGACAAGUCACCAUUCGAUCACAGGACCAACAACCAUUCCCACCUAAGGGCAAUUUAGGUUGCACCCUAGUUUAGGAUCUGGGUCUUUAGAUAAUAAAGUAGAAAGACAGUUGUUUACAGUUUUUUUUUACAGUUUUUUCACUGCCCAGCAUUGAAUCACACUAAACCGUAGCAGUUUUAAGUCAGUUAGGGUCACCAUAGUUUGUUUUAUUUGCCAAGUGGCAGAAUGAUGACAAGUAUGAUUUGUUUUAGCAUUCUUUAAAAUCCUGUCACGAUCUGCCAUUUAGUGUUUUGUAUUUGUUUACUUUUGCUUAGUCAGGUGUUUUGUGUUCGUCCAGGUCUUUAGUUUACUUUUCUUGUUUCUUCCUAGAUCCCUGGUUUCAUGUGUUUGUUUAUAUUUCCCUUAAGAUCUGUUUUUCCUGAGUUUUGCUAUUUAGUCUUGUCUCUUUUUGCUCAGUUCCUCAUGUCUGUUUUCCUCUGCUGUCAGGUCUCAUUAGUUGUAAUUAGUCACAUUUCCCUCAGUCUCUCUGCAAACCUGUUCCUUGUUCCCCAUGAUUACUCUGUCCCUCUGUUCACUGGUUCUCUCUGUAUUCUCUGUUUGCAUUUAAGCUCUCUAGUUUUCAUUGUUCCCCAUUGGUUCCUCCUGUCAAUUACCCUGUUAUCGUCCUGAGUUCUUCCUAGUGGUUUGUUUUCUGUUUUGCCUCCUGAACCUGUUCUUGUUGGAUUACCAGCCUGUGCUCAGUACUCUGCCUGCCUGCCUGUAAGUCUGUUGUGCAUCUUCAACAUUAAAACUUCAUCUACUCACCAUCCGGCCUCCUCGCCAUGUUCAGCAUUCUGGUCCUGCCUCCAAUGACUCGAUGUUUGCUUACAUUUCCUUAGAAGGCUAUUCAAUAAAAUUACCUUUUAAAUUGUA
Molecule: long non-coding RNA, 1361 nt
Organism: Girardinichthys multiradiatus
Lineage: Eukaryota; Metazoa; Chordata; Actinopteri; Cyprinodontiformes; Goodeidae
Exons: 3
Source: RefSeq, a predicted model, not a curated record